UGGUUGCUUAGAAGUUACCCUGGGCUCCUUUGUGACCUUGAGGACUAUUACAUGUCUUGCUCUUGGAGUGAUCUUUGUUGGUCGACCACUCCUGGGGAGUGUAAGAAUGGUCUUUGUAGCUGUCGCUGAAAAAAUGUAUGGGUCUUUUCUUUCUUUAAAGUAUUUAUUUGUUAUGUUGUUGUUAUUACAAUAAUGCAAUGUAAAUAUUAAUAAUAAUUUGCCUAUGUGAGUUUUGUUUUACAAGGGUUGCAGAAAUAGUGACACCUACAGGUUAAACUAGUGAUCUGCAUUUAAUUUAAGUUACUGUGGUCAUGUGAUUAGCCUAACUAAUAGCAGUGCAAAAAUGUGCAUGCAGUUUUUGGUGCUACAGUGUACACGGAGUGAGGUGCUAAAGAAGAGAAUAACUAAACAGUAAAGCGUUACAGCUACUCCUAGAUAUCUGGUUGGAAGGCGCACACGUGAUUGAAUGUGCUUAAGUUGUGAAGGAAUGCAAUAAAAGAAACGACAAACAUCAGUUGAAGCGUACGUUUUAAUCUGACCAGAAGAAUAGGUUUGGGAGCAGCUACAGUCUUGAAUUUCUUUUCCAGCCUGGACUUGUGUGAAAAUCUGAUGUUUUAGGUUAUAUUUAUGCAUACGCAUCCAGGAGGAGGAUGAGUGGACGACUGCGUUUAGCACCAUCGCCUGUUGCAACAUCAGCCUUAUGUAAAGGCCGAGAAGUGUGAGUUCCACCAACACACGAUCUCCUUCCUAG
Ictalurus punctatus (channel catfish) is the source of this 751-nucleotide long non-coding RNA. The record is from Ensembl. NCBI's taxonomy places the organism in Eukaryota, Metazoa, Chordata, Actinopteri, Siluriformes, Ictaluridae.